This 552-nucleotide long non-coding RNA is filed under the name Chinchilla lanigera (long-tailed chinchilla). RNAcentral describes it as "lncRNA (ENSCLAG00000023679.1)". Lineage: Eukaryota; Metazoa; Chordata; Mammalia; Rodentia; Chinchillidae. The record is from RNAcentral.
CACGAUAACUUUUCUUCUUCCUCCUAUCCAGAGGACAGUGAGCACCAUCAAAGCAUCAGCCUGCGGGCUCAUUUCAAUCUGACCUGCUCUGCUUGCCCGCCUACGCCUUCAUUCACAGCGGAGAGCCAUUAUUUCAGUUCAGUGCUGUGGAUGGAGAAAAAAGUUGAUUUGGUGUCUACUCUUCAGGCUUAUUCUGGCAGAAAAAAAUGCUGAAGAUGAUACCUCCAAUUCAUUACUGCGUUUGUCUGGAGGCAUUUUUCUGAUUGAGAUGACAGUAAAUCCACUGGGAAGCAGAAACUCCGGAUUUGAUGAGGAUGCAGCCCACACAUCUCUGAUUAAACCUUUGACUCUGUUACUACAGCUGUCAAAAUAAACUGAUUCCAAAUAUGAAAGAAGAGACUUCUCAUUUUUAACUGCAAGAUGCAUUCCUAUAAGGCUCUCAAAAUAUUUUCUGUUCAUUAUAUCAGUGAAGCCUAUUUUCUUUGUAAAAUACAUACUAUAAAGAGAUUCUAUACAUCUCAAAGACAAGUUUGUUAAUUAAUAAAAGACCAU